Molecule: ribosomal RNA, 1001 nt
Filed under: Pectobacterium carotovorum subsp. carotovorum
Lineage: Bacteria; Pseudomonadati; Pseudomonadota; Gammaproteobacteria; Enterobacterales; Pectobacteriaceae
Description: partial 23S ribosomal RNA
Rfam family: Bacterial large subunit ribosomal RNA
Source: RNAcentral
AACUAUAACGGUCCUAAGGUAGCGAAAUUCCUUGUCGGGUAAGUUCCGACCCGCACGAAUGGUGUAACGAUUCUGGGCACUGUCUCAACGCGAGACUCGGUGAAAUUUAUAUACCGGUAAAGAAGCCGGUUACCCAUAGUUAGACGGAAAGACCCCGUGAACCUUCACCGCAACUUAUUAUUGGGACUUGGUUUAUCAUGUGUAGAAUAGGUGGGAGGCUAUGAAGCUUGACCGUUAGGUUGGGUGGAGCCGAAAAGUGAAAUACCACCCUUGAUAAAUCAGGUUUCUAACCGCUGUCCGUGAAACCGGAAGCGGGACAGUGAUAGGCAGGCGGUUUGACUGGGGCGGUCGCCUCCUAAAGAGUAACGGAGGUGCGCGAAGGUCUCCUCACGCCGGUUGGAAAUCGGCGCAGCGAGUGUAAAGGCACAAGGAGGCUUAACUGCGAGAGUGACAGCUCAAGCAGAUACGAAAGUAGGUCUUAAUGAUCUGGCGGUAGCGAGUGGAAGCGCCGUCACUUAACGGAUAAAAGGUACUCCGGGGAUAACAGGCUGAUAUUCCCCAAGAGUUCACAUCGACGGGAAUGUUUGGCACCUCGAUGUCGGCUCAUCGCAUCCUGGGGCUGAAGCAGGUCCCAAGGGUUUGGCUGUUCGCCAAUUAAAGCGGUACGUGAGCUGGGUUCAGAACGUCGCGAGACAGUUCGGUCCCUAUCUGCUAUGGGCGUUGGAUACGUGAGAGGAGCUGUUUUUAGUACGAGAGGACCGAAAUGGACGAACCUCUGGUGUACCGGUUAUCCUGCCAAGGGUAAUUGCCGGGUAGCUAAGUUCGGAAGGGAUAACCGCUGAAGGCAUCUAAGUGGGAAGCCCGCCUCAAGACUACGUAUCCCUGAGGGUUUAACCCUCCUAAAGACUCCUUGCACACUACAAGGUUGAUAGGUUGGAGGUCUAAGCACAGUAAUGUGUUCAGCCGACCAAUACUAAUAAGUCGUGAGGCUUGACCAUAUU